Molecule: ribosomal RNA, 424 nt
Filed under: uncultured bacterium
Lineage: Bacteria
Description: bacterial SSU rRNA
Rfam family: Bacterial small subunit ribosomal RNA
Source: RNAcentral
AGGGAAUCUUCCGCAAUGGACGAAAGUCUGACGGAGCAACGCCGCGUGAGUGAUGAAGGUUUUCGGAUCGUAAAGCUCUGUUGCCAGGGAAGAACGUCCUGUAGAGUAACUGCUACAGGAGUGACGGUACCUGAGAAGAAAGCCCCGGCUAACUACGUGCCAGCAGCCGCGGUAAUACGGAGGGGGCAAGCGUUGUCCGGAAUUAUUGGGCGUAAAGCGCGCGCAGGCGGCUGUUUAAGUCUGGUGUUUAAUCCUGGGGCUCAACCCCGGGUCGCACUGGAAACUGGACAGCUUGAGUGCAGAAGAGGAGAGUGGAAUUCCACGUGUAGCGGUGAAAUGCGUAGAGAUGUGGAGGAACACCAGUGGCGAAGGCGACUCUCUGGGCUGUAACUGACGCUGAGGCGCGAAAGCGUUGGGAGCAAAC